GCAUCCGUAGCCAGCUGGAUAGAGUACUCGGCUACGAACCGAGCGGUCGGAGGUUCGAAUCCUCCCGGAUGCACCA
RNAcentral lists this transfer RNA (76 nucleotides) under Escherichia coli. RNAcentral's name for it is "tRNA-Arg". It matches the Rfam family "tRNA". From Rfam's summary of the family: Transfer RNA (tRNA) molecules are approximately 80 nucleotides in length. Their secondary structure includes four short double-helical elements and three loops (D, anti-codon, and T loops). The record is from RNAcentral. RNAcentral also lists the same sequence under 1 other name. Lineage: Bacteria; Pseudomonadati; Pseudomonadota; Gammaproteobacteria; Enterobacterales; Enterobacteriaceae.